GGAUUGGAGUCUGCAACUCGACUCCAUGAAGCUGGAUUCGCUAGUAAUCGCGCAUCAGCCAUGGCGCGGUGAAUACGUUCCCGGGCCUUGUACACACCGCCCGUCAAGCCAUGGGAGUCGGGAGUGCCUGAAGUUCGUGACCGUCACAGGAGCGACCUAAGGCAAGACCGAUGACUGGGGCUAAGUCGUAACAAGGUACC
This 200-nucleotide ribosomal RNA is filed under the name uncultured bacterium. Its description in RNAcentral is "partial 16S ribosomal RNA". It matches the Rfam family "Bacterial small subunit ribosomal RNA", at positions 1295 to 1500 of the family's 1533-position model. The record is from RNAcentral.